RNAcentral lists this ribosomal RNA (465 nucleotides) under uncultured bacterium. RNAcentral's name for it is "partial 16S ribosomal RNA". It matches the Rfam family "Bacterial small subunit ribosomal RNA", at positions 339 to 795 of the family's 1533-position model. The record is from RNAcentral.
CUACGGGCGGCUGCAGUGGGGAAUAUUGGACAAUGGGGGAAACCCUGAUCCAGCAAUGCCGCGUGUGUGAAGAAGGCCUGCGGGUUGUAAAGCACUUUCGGUUGGGAGGACUGCUUCUAGCACUAAUAUUGUUGGAAGUUGACGUUACCUUCAGAAGAAGCACCGGCUAACUCCGUGCCAGCAGCCGCGGUAAUACGGAGGGUGCAAGCGUUAAUCGGAAUUACUGGGCGUAAAGCGCGCGUAGGCGGCUAGAUCAGUCGGGUGUGAAAGCCCCGGGCUUAACCUGGGAACUGCAUCCGAUACUGUCUAGCUUGAGUACAGGAGAGGAGAGUGGAAUUCCACAUGUAGCGGUGAAAUGCGUAGAUAUGUGGAGGAACACCAAUGGCAAAGGCAGCUCUCUGGCCUGAUACUGACGCUGAGGUGCGAAAGCGUGGGGAGCAAACGGGAUUAGAUACCCCCGUAGUC